GAUGAACGCUGGCGGCGUGCCUAACACAUGCAAGUCGAGCGAUUCUCUUCGGAGAAGAGCGGCGGACGGGUGAGUAACGCGUGGGUAACCUGCCCUGUACACACGGAUAACAUACCGAAAGGUAUGCUAAUACGAGAUAAUAUACUUUUAUCGCAUGGUAGAAGUAUCAAAGCUCCGGCGGUACAGGAUGGACCCGCGUCUGAUUAGCUAGUUGGUAAGGUAACGGCUUACCAAGGCGACGAUCAGUAGCCGACCUGAGAGGGUGAUCGGCCACAUUGGAACUGAGACACGGUCCAAACUCCUACGGGAGGCAGCAGUGGGGAAUAUUGCACAAUGGGCGAAAGCCUGAUGCAGCAACGCCGCGUGAGCGAUGAAGGCCUCGGUCGUAAAGACUCUGUCCUC
This 402-nucleotide ribosomal RNA is filed under the name uncultured bacterium. Its description in RNAcentral is "bacterial SSU rRNA". It matches the Rfam family "Bacterial small subunit ribosomal RNA", at positions 28 to 440 of the family's 1533-position model. The record is from RNAcentral.